GAGGCAUUAGCUCAGUCGGUAGAGCAUUACACUUUUAAUGUAAGGGUCCACGGUUCGAAUCCGUGAUGCCUCACCA
This 76-nucleotide transfer RNA is filed under the name Bdellovibrionales bacterium GWA1_52_35. Its description in RNAcentral is "tRNA-Lys". It matches the Rfam family "tRNA". Rfam says of the family: Transfer RNA (tRNA) molecules are approximately 80 nucleotides in length. Their secondary structure includes four short double-helical elements and three loops (D, anti-codon, and T loops). RNAcentral also lists the same sequence under 6 other names. Lineage: Bacteria; Pseudomonadati; Bdellovibrionota; Bdellovibrionia; Bdellovibrionales. The record is from RNAcentral.